UCGUAAAUUGCUGGAGGCACCACCAAUCACAAGAACAGCAGUGCGGCUAGCUCAUCUCCAGCUGCUCCUCAAACCAACUUUUCUCUUCACAAAAGUUUCCAGGCUGCAGCAAUGGAAAUUUUAAAAGAGGGAAAAAGUGUGAUCAGAGAAACCUCCUAGAAUAUGGAUUAACAACCAUAAGAAUAAACACUAAAUUUAAUUUCCAUCCAUGUGAAAUAGGUACACUGUUCCCAUAGAACACCAUACAUACAUGAGAGUGGGGGCAGAGAAGGUUGCAGAGAUGAUCACCACACCUUUCAACAAGUUUCUGUUGUACAUUUCAUAAUAGAUAGUCACCCAAGGAAAGUUGUUAAGAGCGCUACAAGUGAUUCAGGCAAGAACAAGUUUGCAUGUGCUACCCUUCAUUCGAAAAAUGCUAAAUCUAUUUAUAUCAUGGCUUUCGAGAUGUGUAAAUACGUGAUCUUUCCAGGGGGAAGAUCCAUCUACAGGUUAGAAUAUUAGGCUGCUCAAGCUUAGGUCAUGAAACUUGAAUCCAAUUCAAGCACACCCAAUCCGGACUCGGUAUUAAGUAGUCCUCUAUUCAUGAAUGACUUGACCUGACCUUGAUGAGCAUGUUUGAGCUUGAUUAAGAUAGGGCCUAACCUAAAUAGAAAUCCAUGAUCCUAAUCAAGGCAGUCCAUUAGUAUGCCUCAAGAUUUCUAAAGGAAUUACAACAACAUCACACAACAAAACAAAAACACUACCACAACUUGUGUGAUCUCAUUACUCCAUUCCCUUUUCUGGUUCAAUGUCAAGAUAAUGAUAAAUGUAAAACAAAAUAGGAUUAUGCAUCUUUACUACUUGAUGCUGAAAAUAGGAUUUGUUCCCAUAGCAUGUUUCACAUGCAUGCCAUAUUUCUAGUUUGCCACCACAAUGUUUAGAUUCCUUAUGUUCCCAUGCAUGCCACGUGGUGCUAAUUACACUUGUUUCUUUUGGUAGGUUUUGUAACAUUAAUGCAACAGAUAAUUGACAUUUUAAAUAAGCAUGACAACCCUCUAGCCAAUUUCCAUGUAAGUGAAAGCUUAGCACAUUUAUAGAUAGAUAACAAACUAGCUUCAGCUACUCAUGGGUAGGUUGUUAGAUUACCAUAAAUUGGGAAAAUUUACAGCUUAGCUAACAACCUAACCACUGGAACAGUCCAAUCCUGCCGGCUAAAUUCCCUAUUUUUGGGUCUCGCCUAGUUCCGUUCCUUAAAAAGUUAAAUAAAACUUCCAUCAACAACUUUCUUUGAUACACCUAAAGCUCAGUAUGAUUUUCCCAAUGCAACAACUAUCAUUUUAUAAUUUCCCUUUUCUUGGCAAUCCUCAUUAUAGAUCUCACUCAACCUAUAAAUGUCAGUCCCAUAUAAUAAGAUUUCUUUGAUUUACUGUCUGACUAACAAUGAACAAUAAGUUGUUCCCUACCAAUUUUAGGUUCCAAUGCAAAAGCAAGAUUUUGAACUGUACCAAUAUAUUACAUGUUGUUCAAUUAAAAGGUGCAACCAAUGUCAAUUCAUUAGAAAUUUUAUCACAAUAUAGUGCAUGGGCAACAUAUUUAGAUGUGCCUUGUAUCAUAUACUGUCUUAAAUUAAAAAGAAGAAAGAAUUUAUCACCUAUCUCUUGUGAUAGAAUCUCUCCCCCCAAAAAUAAAUAAAUAAAUAAAAUUAAGAGCCACAUACAAUUUACACAGGAGUCUAAAGUGAGUGUAUGCACAGGCGAAAAGAAGUGAGCUCUACCAAAGAGAGUCCAUAUAUUUGACCAAAAAUCUAGGCAUGCAUUGAAUAGAAAAGACUGAUCAGUCAUUAAUUCAUAUUGCUUAUUUGGAUUUGAUUAACAAUGUUCGGUUAAAUACCAAUCAAGACAACCUAUGAUGUAAAGUGGAUCCCCAAUGAACUUUUAUAACUCUAAAUACAUUGAUUAAAAAAAUGAAAAUAAAUUUCAAAGCAAUUUUACAAGUCUCAUUUGUGUAACAACAAUUCCCCUAUUUUUAUUGGUCAGAAAGGUGAGCUGGAAGUAUGGCAAUUUUGCCCCAAAGGCACCUCAUACCCUCAGGUAUGAACCAUAGCCCACAAUCCAAUUGAUUUAGGAGACAAAUUAUAAAUUAAGGAAUGACAGUAAACUAACCAUAGUAGGAAAGAAAUCUAAAGCAGGGGUUGUGGAAAAUAUUUUUUCGAUUUUUUUUUUUUGAACCUCAAAGUUGAUGAGUACAUUCCAGGAGGAAAAUCUUGAGAAGGAGUAUAAAAUUUUUCCCAAAUUUCUUUUCCUUUAUUCCUUUCUUGCAAAAUCAACUAAAAGAUGGAGAAAAUAUUGAAAAUGUCCAUUUUUUUCCUCUUUUCCAUGCCCACCGACAAAAACGGAGACAGGAAAUUUCAGCCACUCAAAUUUUUUAAACAAUGGCAUACCAUAUUUCCCUCCCCUUCUAUAUAUAUAUGGAUUUAUUUUUGCGUGUGAGUGUAUCACACGUAAAAUACAUAUGAAAGUUUUCAAAAUUUAGUACUUUCUUCAUAUGCAUCUAAAAAGUAUGAUUCAAUCUGCAAAAAGUAGUUAAAAUACAAGGAAAAAAUAAAUUAAAACCCUCAAACCAUUCAAAGUAAUAGUUGCCCUAAGCUCAAGAAUAAUUGAUCUCCAUCACGAUUUCAUGGCAGAAAAAACCUGAAUAAACUGCUUGAGAGAUUCAUUGAAACUGUUGACCCCAGGCAUCAUAUCUAAGAAUCUAAGAUAAGAUUUCUCAAGAAACAAACAUAAAAGGUAACAGUAUAAAACCAAAUUAAUCACCAAAUUGUAUUUGAAAAAAAAAAAAGGACGCGGCAACACAACCCGGGGAUGAUCAUCCAAACCCUUACCUGGAAUCUCCUUCCGCGGCUUGGCCGGAGCGGUGGCCUGACAAAUAAUCGCCCGGCCCAACACCGAAAGAUUCGAAACAAUUCCGACAAAAUAGAAGACCAUGACCAACCCAAGAACCCAGGGCAUUAAGAUGAAUCCAAUAAAGAACGUGACCGACCCACAGAGCAUCAAAGCCAGCGAAAUUCCCAGAAGCAGCGACGCGAACCCGGCCGGAGAGAUCUGCGUGGUCGUCGGCCGCCUCGACGUGUACACCUCCGGUGAGUGCUCCG
This 3130-nucleotide long non-coding RNA is filed under the name Vitis vinifera (wine grape). Its description in RNAcentral is "long non-coding RNA (VVIN_LNC000294)". Lineage: Eukaryota; Viridiplantae; Streptophyta; Magnoliopsida; Vitales; Vitaceae. The record is from RNAcentral.